This 253-nucleotide ribosomal RNA is filed under the name uncultured prokaryote. RNAcentral describes it as "partial 16S ribosomal RNA". It matches the Rfam family "Bacterial small subunit ribosomal RNA", at positions 525 to 777 of the family's 1533-position model. The record is from RNAcentral.
GCGUAGGAUGCAAGCGUUGUCCGGAUUUAUUGGGCGUAAAGAGUUCGUAGGUGGUUUGUUAAGUCUGAUGUUAAAGACUGGGGCUCAACCUCGGAAAUGCAUUGGAUACUGGCAGACUUGAGUGUGGUAGAGGCAAUCGGAAUUCCAGGUGUAGCGGUGAAAUGCGUAGAUAUCUGGAAGAACACCGGUGGCGCAAGCGGAUUGCUGGGCCAUAACUGACACUGAGGAACGAAAGCUAGGGGAGCAAAUGGGA